AUGGACCGCGGCCGCUGCGAUGGCCAGCAGGUCAUGCACGACAUGUUCGUCGUGUUCUUCGGCUGGGCGGACGACCUAGAGGCCCUCGAGCUCGCCAGGAAGAGGGCCGAGGCGCUGAGCACCCCGGCAUGUAGAUCACCGUGGUGCGCUUCCUCGAUGGGAAGGCCGCCAGCCAGGAGCACAUGGAAGUCGCACUGCUUCCGUCCGACGCCAGGAACGGUGAGAAGAGCUACACCUUCUAACGCUUCAAGCUCUGGAUGGUCGCCGGCGACGCGACGCGGUCGACGGCCUCGACAGCUCCUCCUUUCGUCUCCCCGCGCACUUCCUCGCUCGCCGUGUAGGACGGACUGGCGGCGCCCAGGUCGCCGACUGCUGCCAGUGCCAGGACAGGCAAGCUACAUGUACGCUGAGCUCGCCAAGGAGUUGCGCGCCGCAGAGGACCGCGUCGGAGCCUCCGACGAUCUUCCCAUCCUACCCGCGGACGCUUCGAGCUCGCGACCUUCCAGGCCGACAGCGCCCCGCCGUCCCGUGUCAUCUCACCACCGACUCGACGUUGCGUUCGCCCAGGCCGUCGUCGCCUUGUCAUCCAGCGACAUCGAAGCCCUUCGGCUCGCGUCGUCGUCGUGGAGAGAUGCUAUCUCGGAGAGGCUCGAGCCGAAGCUAACGGGAGAAGGCGCCCCUGCUCCUUGA
RNAcentral lists this ribosomal RNA (690 nucleotides) under Triticum aestivum (bread wheat). RNAcentral's name for it is "partial small subunit ribosomal RNA". Lineage: Eukaryota; Viridiplantae; Streptophyta; Magnoliopsida; Poales; Poaceae. The record is from RNAcentral.